UAUGAUUUCGUCAUUUAAGCC
This 21-nucleotide non-coding RNA is filed under the name Caenorhabditis elegans. The record is from RNAcentral. Lineage: Eukaryota; Metazoa; Nematoda; Chromadorea; Rhabditida; Rhabditidae.